AUAGCGUAUAUUAAAGUUGUUGCAGUUAAAAAGCUCGUAGUUGAACUUUGGGUUUGGUUGGGCGGUCUUUCCUUUGGAUUGCACUUCUCUGACUGAACCUUUCCUUCUGGAGAACUAUGGUGCUAUUCAUUUAGUGCUAUAGGGAACCAGGACUUUUACUUUGAAAAAAUUAGAGUGUUUAAAGCAGGCUUACGCUUGAAUACAUUAGCAUGGAAUAAUAGAAUAGGACUUUGGUUUUAUUUUGUUGGUUUCUAGGACCGAAGUAAUGAUUAAUAGGGAUAGUUGGGGGCAUUAGUAUUUAGCCGUCAGAGGUGAAAUUCUUGGAUUGG
RNAcentral lists this ribosomal RNA (329 nucleotides) under Rhizophydium sp. UGA-F16. RNAcentral describes it as "SSU rRNA". It matches the Rfam family "Eukaryotic small subunit ribosomal RNA", at positions 594 to 928 of the family's 1831-position model. The record is from RNAcentral. Lineage: Eukaryota; Fungi; Chytridiomycota; Chytridiomycetes; Rhizophydiales; Rhizophydiaceae.